GAAGAGGAGGACACAAACGAGAAUGAGCAGGAGGGUGCGGCAGUGGUUACAGGCCUUGGGUUCUCUGAGGAGAGUUUUGGGCCCCUGUUCUGGAGUCAGGUCGACUCCUUUCUACGCAAUUUACAUAACAACAAACAUGUCCUGUUCCGGCCUCACGCUGAGUGCCUGAUGGUCAGGGGCUGCUCCCAGCCACUCUCCGACCCUGGAGAAGGUCCCGUGCCUCCUCAGGAGCAGGAAGACCUGGGAGAGGGAGGCAAAGUCUUGCAGGGCCUAGACUCUGCUGCUGAUUUUAAAUUGGGAUAUUUUCCCUGCCAACUUUUGACGCCAAAGUCUGCAUCAUUCUGCCCUAAUGAUGAGGGUGAGUAUCAGUAUGAAAAUGCUGAUGAAGAGGAAGAGGAUGGAAAUGAAAAACCUGAAGGACUCUAAAUGGAUAUGGUCUCAGCAAAGAGCAGCUCUGGAUAAUACAGUGGGAAGGUCUAGAAAGAAGCAGACAGCAAAAGAAAAGAUGCAUUUGUUCUUCAUGGAUAUUCUUGUUUUCAUUAGCCUGAAAUACUAAUUUUGUUUCAAAGUUUCAAUGCCCCAAAAUGAUACGAACUUCUGACAUCUGACUUUACUCUUACGUUUUACAGAUAAUUUCGUAUUAUUGUUCACACUGGAAAUAAAAGUUUGUUUGAAAUUAA
This is a long non-coding RNA of Cervus elaphus (red deer), 680 nucleotides long. RefSeq lists it as uncharacterized. The transcript is spliced from 3 exons. Lineage: Eukaryota; Metazoa; Chordata; Mammalia; Artiodactyla; Cervidae. The record is from RefSeq and is a predicted model, not a curated record.